RNAcentral lists this ribosomal RNA (498 nucleotides) under uncultured bacterium. Its description in RNAcentral is "bacterial SSU rRNA". It matches the Rfam family "Bacterial small subunit ribosomal RNA", at positions 903 to 1397 of the family's 1533-position model. The record is from RNAcentral.
AAAUGAAUUGACGGGGGCUCACACAAGCGGAGGAGGAUGUGGCUUAAUUCGAGGCUACGCGAAGAACCUUACCUGGGCUCGAAGUGCUUGAGAAUACUUCCGAAACGAAGUAGUGCCUUUCGGGGAGCUCUUGCAUAGGUGCUGCAUGGCUGUCGUCAGCUCGUGUCGUGAGAUGUCGCGUUAAGUCGCUUAACGAGCGAAACCCUUGUCUUCAGUUGCCAGCGCGUAAUGGCGGGGACUCUGAAGAGACUGCCGGUGUUAAACCGGAGGAAGGUGGGGAUGACGUCAAGUCCUCAUGGCCUUUAUGUCCAGGGCUGCACACGUCCUACAAUGCGGCGUAUAAAGCGAUGCAAAACCGCGAGGUCGAGCAAACCGCACAAAGCGCCGCCCAGUUCGGAUUGCAGGCUGAAAUUCGCCUGCAUGAAGCCGGAUUCGCUAGUAAUCGCGGGUCAGCAUACCGCGGUGAAUGUGUUCCUGAGCCUUGCACACACCGCCCGU